AGGGCGCACGGUGGAUGCCUUGGCACUAGAAGCCGAUGAAGGACGUUACUAACNACGAUAUGCUUUGGGGAGCUGUAAGUAAGCUUUGAUCCAGAGAUUUCCGAAUGGGGAAACCCAGCAUGAGUUAUGUCAUGUUAUCGAUAUGUGAAUACAUAGCAUAUCAGAAGGCACACCCGGAGAACUGAAACAUCUUAGUACCCGGAGGAAGAGAAAGAAAAUUCGAUUCCCUUAGUAGCGGCGAGCGAAACGGGAAGAGCCCAAACCAACAAGCUUGCUUGUUGGGGUUGUAGGACACUCUAUACGGAGUUACAAAGGACGACAUUAGACGAAUCAUCUGGAAAGAUGAAUCAAAGAAGGUAAUAAUCCUGUAGUCGAAAAUGUUGUCUCUCUUGAGUGGAUCCUGAGUACGACGGAGCACGUGAAAUUCCGUCGGAAUCUGGGAGGACCAUCUCCUAAGGCUAAAUACUCUCUAGUGACCGAUAGUGAACCAGUACCGUGAGGGAAAGGUGAAAAGCACCCCGGAAGGGGAGUGAAAUAGAACCUGAAACCGUGUGCUUACAAGUAGUCAGAGCCCGUUAAUGGGUGAUGGCGUGCCUUUUGUAGAAUGAACCGGCGAGUUACGAUUUGAUGCAAGGUUAAGCAGUAAAUGUGGAGCCGUAGCGAAAGCGAGUCUGAAUAGGGCGUUUAGUAUUUGGUCGUAGACCCGAAACCAGGUGAUCUACCCUUGGUCAGGUUGAAGUUCAGGUAACACUGAAUGGAGGACCGAACCGACUUACGUUGAAAAGUGAGCGGAUGAACUGAGGGUAGCGGAGAAAUUCCAAUCGAACCUGGAGAUAGCUGGUUCUCUCCGAAAUAGCUUUAGGGCUAGCCUCAAGUGAUGAUUAUUGGAGGUAGAGCACUGUUUGGACGAGGGGCCCCUCUCGGGUUACCGAAUUCAGACAAACUCCGAAUGCCAAUUAAUUUAACUUGGGAGUCAGAACAUGGGUGAUAAGGUCCGUGUUCGAAAGGGAAACAGCCCAGACCACCAGCUAAGGUCCCAAAAUAUAUGUUAAGUGGAAAAGGAUGUGGCGUUGCCCAGACAACUAGGAUGUUGGCUUAGAAGCAGCCAUCAUUUAAAGAGUGCGUAAUAGCUCACUAGUCGAGUGACACUGCGCCGAAAAUGUACCGGGGCUAAACAUAUUACCGAAGCUGUGGAUUGUCCUUUGGACAAUGGUAGGAGAGCGUUCUAAGGGCGUUGAAGCAUGAUCGUAAGGACAUGUGGAGCGCUUAGAAGUGAGAAUGCCGGUGUGAGUAGCGAAAGACGGGUGAGAAUCCCGUCCACCGAUUGACUAAGGUUUCCAGAGGAAGGCUCGUCCGCUCUGGGUUAGUCGGGUCCUAAGCUGAGGCCGACAGGCGUAGGCGAUGGAUAACAGGUUGAUAUUCCUGUACCACCUAUAAUCGUUUUAAUCGAUGGGGGGACGCAGUAGGAUAGGCGAAGCGUGCGAUUGGAUUGCACGUCUAAGCAGUAAGGCUGAGUAUUAGGCAAAUCCGGUACUCGUUAAGGCUGAGCUGUGAUGGGGAGAAGACAUUGUGUCUUCGAGUCGUUGAUUUCACACUGCCGAGAAAAGCCUCUAGAUAGAAAAUAGGUGCCCGUACCGCAAACCGACACAGGUAGUCAAGAUGAGAAUUCUAAGGUGAGCGAGCGAACUCUCGUUAAGGAACUCGGCAAAAUGACCCCGUAACUUCGGGAGAAGGGGUGCUCUUUAGGGUUAACGCCCAGAAGAGCCGCAGUGAAUAGGCCCAAGCGACUGUUUAUCAAAAACACAGGUCUCUGCUAAACCGUAAGGUGAUGUAUAGGGGCUGACGCCUGCCCGGUGCUGGAAGGUUAAGAGGAGUGGUUAGCUUCUGCGAAGCUACGAAUCGAAGCCCCAGUAAACGGCGGCCGUAACUAUAACGGUCCUAAGGUAGCGAAAUUCCUUGUCGGGUAAGUUCCGACCCGCACGAAAGGCGUAACGAUUUGGGCACUGUCUCAACGAGAGACUCGGUGAAAUCAUAGUACCUGUGAAGAUGCAGGUUACCCGCGACAGGACGGAAAGACCCCGUGGAGCUUUACUGUAGCCUGAUAUUGAAAUUCGGCACAGCUUGUACAGGAUAGGUAGGAGCCUUUGAAACGUGAGCGCUAGCUUACGUGGAGGCGCUGGUGGGAUACUACCCUAGCUGUGUUGGCUUUCUAACCCGCACCACUUAUCGUGGUGGGAGACAGUGUCAGGCGGGCAGUUUGACUGGGGCGGUCGCCUCCUAAAAGGUAACGGAGGCGCUCAAAGGUUCCCUCAGAAUGGUUGGAAAUCAUUCAUAGAGUGUAAAGGCAUAAGGGAGCUUGACUGCGAGACCUACAAGUCGAGCAGGGUCGAAAGACGGACUUAGUGAUCCGGUGGUUCCGCAUGGAAGGGCCAUCGCUCAACGGAUAAAAGCUACCCCGGGGAUAACAGGCUUAUCUCCCCCAAGAGUUCACAUCGACGGGGAGGUUUGGCACCUCGAUGUCGGCUCAUCGCAUCCUGGGGCUGUAGUCGGUCCCAAGGGUUGGGCUGUUCGCCCAUUAAAGCGGUACGCGAGCUGGGUUCAGAACGUCGUGAGACAGUUCGGUCCCUAUCCGUCGUGGGCGUAGGAAAUUUGAGAGGAGCUGUCCUUAGUACGAGAGGACCGGGAUGGACAUACCUCUGGUGUACCAGUUGUCGUGCCAACGGCAUAGCUGGGUAGCUAUGUGUGGACGGGAUAAGUGCUGAAAGCAUCUAAGCAUGAAGCCCCCCUCAAGAUGAGAUUUCCCAACUUCGGUUAU
This 2815-nucleotide ribosomal RNA is filed under the name Staphylococcus aureus. RNAcentral describes it as "bacterial LSU rRNA". It matches the Rfam family "Bacterial large subunit ribosomal RNA". The record is from RNAcentral. Lineage: Bacteria; Bacillati; Bacillota; Bacilli; Caryophanales; Staphylococcaceae.